This is a long non-coding RNA of Choloepus didactylus (southern two-toed sloth), 1621 nucleotides long. RefSeq lists it as uncharacterized. The transcript is spliced from 4 exons. NCBI's taxonomy places the organism in Eukaryota, Metazoa, Chordata, Mammalia, Pilosa, Megalonychidae. The record is from RefSeq and is a predicted model, not a curated record.
UUUGUGCGGAGUCGGGGAGGACGGAGGCCGGCUCCCCACUGGCCCUGCCUGGGGCGCUCCUUGGGGAGCGGGGGUGCGGUGGGCAGUGCGGAAAGCCCCUGGGGCGCCCCUGCCCAGGUCCCGCACGACCCCUGUGGUCGGGGCUGCGUAUUGCUCCCUGGGAAACUCAAGGCGCUGCGUAAAGACAGAAGGGUUAAGAGUUCAGGCCAUGCUCUCACUGCAAGGGCAUCUGGGAGAGUGAAGGCCUGGCAGGGUCCAGUUUUUCAGUGGAAGAUCGGCCCAGCCAGGGGUGAGCGGGAGAGGAGAAGGCGAUGAGAUAGGCUCUGCCAGCUGAGAGCACUUCAAAGGGGAGACCUGCGCUGGCUAAACAACCUGGGCACUGGGGUUAUGAAAUGGAUGUGAAUGCAUAAUAUCCACAAUAUCAAAACGGCUGAGUGAACAUAUGGUGACCCACCAGGGACUGUUGGAGACGGCCUGGCACUGAGUGUGUGCAGAGACUUGACAUUCCAGGGAAAGAGGAGAGAGGCACAGCCUUUGAAGGAAGCAGGAGAAGAGCAGAAAGAUCGUCGUCAUAUGAGGAAGAGGUGGAGACUGCUGCGGGCCAGCCGUGGCUGGGGCAGGCCCUCUCCCGGGCUCCUGGUGUCACUCCAGGAAGGAGGCGAGACUGCAGCGUGGGGUGGUUAGCUCCGGACACUGGGUUCCUCCAGCUUCAUGGAGAGUCCUGGGUCCCUGGCGUGUCCAGAAGUGGCAAAGCUCAGAUUGCUGUAGGAACGCCUCAGCUGUGUCAGUGACCCUCUCAAGGGCCAACAGGAAACUGAACACUAGUGGGGACUCCCAUGUGACUCAAGGAAGCCCCAGUAAUAAAUUUCUUCCCAGUCUACUCCUUUGUGCUUAAGAAAACUUGCUUUUAAGGAAAAAGCCAGACAUAUCCCUCUGCCCCACCAAGACGGUGUCCUGCCCCAGAAACUUUGAACAACCAGCAAGAACUGGCAGAAACAUCUUUCUCAAAGCUCCAGAAAACAGUUAAAGGACUGCAGUAACAGGGUAAGCACUGAAUCAAAAAAAUGUCUACUUGAAAGCGGUAGGAGAACCUGUGGCGCCCUGCCUGGCUCCUCCCCAGCCUCUCGCUGCCUCGGCACCUGUGUGAGACCCUGGUCCCAGCUCUGGAGGUAAGAGUUCCCCUCAUUCUCAGUCUGGGAGCUUGUACGUCCAGCCCAAUCUGUCUGGCGGUGGCCCAAGGGACCUUCUGUCCCGGAACCUGCCCGGCCUGUAGCAGGCAGCUCGCCGAGCCUCCUGCAGAAGGCCGUGGAGGUGCAGACACGUCCUGCUGCCGGGGGCAGGGGCUUGCUGGCUGGAGCACACACCGCAGAGCAGUGCCCAGACUGUGAGGGAGCUGCUUCCUGGGGAAGAGGGGCAUUCGGCACUGUGUAAACAGGGGAGCCCCUAGGGCCACACCAGCAUGCUCGAAACAAGAGGCACGUGCAGAAAGUUGUCAGGGAAGCCCCUAAACUUUGACCUGGAGCUGCUCUCCAAACUCACUGUAUGGAGAAGCCCUGAAAGAGCGUAUUCCCAGAUUAAAAAAAAAAAAAAAAAAGCUGAGGGAGUUCAUACCACAAGACCA